GUCGGUAAAACUCGUGCCAGCCACCGCGGUUAUACGAGAGGCCCAAGUUGACAGACAGCGGCGUAAAGGGUGGUUAGGGGAUUAUCCAAACUAAAGCCGAACGCUCUCAGAACUGUUAUAAGUACCCGAGAGUAUGAAACUCAAUCACGAAAGUAGCUUUAUUUACCCUGAACCCACGAAAGCUAAGGAACAAACUGGGAUUAGAUACCCCACUAUG
This 217-nucleotide ribosomal RNA is filed under the name Paralichthys lethostigma (southern flounder). RNAcentral's name for it is "partial small subunit ribosomal RNA". It matches the Rfam family "Bacterial small subunit ribosomal RNA", at positions 492 to 794 of the family's 1533-position model. The record is from RNAcentral. Lineage: Eukaryota; Metazoa; Chordata; Actinopteri; Pleuronectiformes; Paralichthyidae.